GCAGUCGAGCGACAGAUGAGAAGCUUGCUUCUCUGAUGUUAGCGGCGGACGGGUGAGUAACACGUGGGUAACCUACCUAUAAGACUGGGAUAACUCCGGGAAACCGGGGCUAAUACCGGAUAAUAUUUUGAACCGCAUGGUUCAAUAGUGAAAGACGGUUUCGGCUGUCACUUAUAGAUGGACCCGCGCCGUAUUAGCUAGUUGGUAAGGUAACGGCUUACCAAGGCGACGAUACGUAGCCGACCUGAGAGGGUGAUCGGCCACAU
This 266-nucleotide ribosomal RNA is filed under the name Mammaliicoccus sciuri. RNAcentral's name for it is "Staphylococcus sciuri partial 16S ribosomal RNA". It matches the Rfam family "Bacterial small subunit ribosomal RNA", at positions 60 to 313 of the family's 1533-position model. The record is from RNAcentral. Lineage: Bacteria; Bacillati; Bacillota; Bacilli; Caryophanales; Staphylococcaceae.